RNAcentral lists this ribosomal RNA (480 nucleotides) under uncultured bacterium. RNAcentral's name for it is "bacterial SSU rRNA". It matches the Rfam family "Bacterial small subunit ribosomal RNA", at positions 29 to 506 of the family's 1533-position model. The record is from RNAcentral.
AUGAACGCUAGCGGCAGGCUUAACACAUGCAAGCCGAGGGGCAGCACGGUAGCAAUACUGGUGGCGACCGGCGCACGGGUGAGUAACGCGUAUGCAAUCUACCUUUAACCGGGGAAUAGCUCAGAGAAAUCUGAAUUAAUACCCCAUAACAUUCUGAGGAGGCAUCUCCUUGGUCUUAAAGCUCCGGCGGUUAAAGAUGAGCAUGCGUACCAUUAGCUAGUUGGUAAGGUAACGGCUUACCAAGGCUACGAUGGUUAGGGGGUCUGAGAGGAUGAUCCCCCACACUGGUACUGAGACACGGACCAGACUCCUACGGGAGGCAGCAGUGAGGAAUAUUGGUCAAUGGGUGCAAGCCUGAACCAGCCAUGCCGCGUGAAGGAUUAAGGCGCUAUGCGUUGUAAACUUCUUUUAUACGGGAAAAAACCCCUGAACGUGUUCGGGGCUGAUGGUACCGUAAGAAUAAGGAUCGGCUAACUCCGU